UGGCGGACGGGUGAGUAACGCGUGGAUAACCUGCCGUAUACUGGGGGAUAACACUUAGAAAUAGGUGCUAAUACCGCAUAAGCGCACAGUCUCGCAUGAGACGGUGUGAAAAACUCCGGUGGUAUACGAUGGAUCCGCGUCUGAUUAGCUUGUUGGCGGGGUAACAGCCCACCAAGGCGACGGUCAGUAGCCGGCCUGAGAGGGUGAACGGCCACAUUGGGACUGAGACACGGCCCAAACUCCUACGGGAGGCAGCAG
This 258-nucleotide ribosomal RNA is filed under the name uncultured bacterium. RNAcentral describes it as "partial 16S ribosomal RNA". It matches the Rfam family "Bacterial small subunit ribosomal RNA", at positions 96 to 354 of the family's 1533-position model. The record is from RNAcentral.